This 435-nucleotide ribosomal RNA is filed under the name uncultured bacterium. RNAcentral describes it as "bacterial SSU rRNA". It matches the Rfam family "Bacterial small subunit ribosomal RNA", at positions 343 to 794 of the family's 1533-position model. The record is from RNAcentral.
UGGAGGCAGCAGUGGGGAAUAUUGCAAAAUGGGCGAAAGCCUGAUGCAGCAACGCCGCGUGUGCGAUGAAGGCCUUCGGGUCGUAAAGCACUUUUUGGAGGGAUGAGGAAGGACAGUACCUUCAGAAUAAGCCUCGGCUAACUACGUGCCAGCAGCCGCGGUAAAACGUAGGAGGCGAGCGUUAUCCGGAUUUACUGGGUGUAAAGCGCGUGCAGGCGGGUUGAUAAGUUGGAUGUGAAAGCUCCCGGCUCAACUGGGAGAGGUCGUUCAAGACUGUCAGCCUUGAGUACAGUAGAGGAAAGUGGAAUUCCGGGUGUAGUGGUGAAAUGCGUAGAUAUCCGGAGGAACACCAGUGGCGAAAGCGGCUUUCUGGACUGUAACUGACGCUCAGACGCGAAAGCUAGGGUAGCAAACGGGAUUAGAUACCCUGGUAGC